GAUGAACGCUGACAGAAUGCUUAACACAUGCAAGUCAACUUGAACUUCGGUUUGGGUGGCGGGACGGGUGAGUAACGCGUAAAGAACUUGCCUCACAGCUAGGGACAACAUUUGGAAACGAAUGCUAAUACCUGAUAUUAUGAUUUUAGGGCAUCCUAGAAUUAUGAAAGCUAUAUGCGCUGUGAGAGAGCUUUGCGUCCCAUUAGCUAGUUGGAGAGGUAACGGCUCACCAAGGCGAUGAUGGGUAGCCGGCCUGAGAGGGUGAUCGGCCACAAGGGGACUGAGACACGGCCCUUACUCCUACGGGAGGCAGCAGUGGGGAAUAUUGGACAAUGGACCAAGAGUCUGAUCCAGCAAUUCUGUGUGCACGAUGAAGUUUUUCGGAAUGUAAAGUGCUUUCAGUUGGGAAGAAAAAAAUGACGGUACCAACAGAAGAAGUGACGGCUAAAUACGUGCCAGCAGCCGCGGUAAUACGUAUGUCACAAGCGUUAUCCGGAUUUAUUGGGCGUAAAGCGCGUCUAGGUGGUUAUAUAAGUCUGAUGUGAAAAUGCAGGGCUCAACUCUGUAUUGCGUUGGAAACUGUGUAACUAGAGUACUGGAGAGGUAAGCGGAACUACAAGUGUAGAGGUGAAAUUCGUAGAUAUUUGUAGGAAUGCCGAUGGGGAAGCCAGCUUACUGGACAGAUACUGACGCUAAAGCGCGAAAGCGUGGGUAGCAAACAGG
RNAcentral lists this ribosomal RNA (723 nucleotides) under uncultured Fusobacterium sp. RNAcentral's name for it is "bacterial SSU rRNA". It matches the Rfam family "Bacterial small subunit ribosomal RNA", at positions 28 to 776 of the family's 1533-position model. Lineage: Bacteria; Fusobacteriati; Fusobacteriota; Fusobacteriia; Fusobacteriales; Fusobacteriaceae. The record is from RNAcentral.